This 468-nucleotide ribosomal RNA is filed under the name uncultured bacterium. Its description in RNAcentral is "partial 16S ribosomal RNA". It matches the Rfam family "Bacterial small subunit ribosomal RNA", at positions 28 to 507 of the family's 1533-position model. The record is from RNAcentral.
GACGAACGCUGGCGGCGUGCUUAACACAUGCAAGUCGAACGGAAAGGCCCUGCUUUUGUGGGGUGCUCGAGUGGCGAACGGGUGGGUAACACGUGAGUAACCUGCCCUUGACUUUGGGAUAACUUCAGGAAACUGGGGCUAAUACCGGAUAGGAGCUCCUGCUGCAUGGUGGGGGUUGGAAAGUUUCGGCGGUUGGGGAUGGACUCGCGGCUUAUCAGCUUGUUGGUGGGGUAGUGGCUUACCAAGGCUUUGACGGGUAGCCGGCCUGAGAGGGUGACCGGCCACAUUGGGACUGAGAGACGGCCCAGACUCCUACGGGAGGCAGCAGUGGGGAAUAUUGCACAAUGGGCGGAAGCCUGAUGCAGCAACGCCGCGUGCGGGAUGACGGCCUUCGGGUUGUAAACCGCUUUCGCCUGUGACGAAGCGUGAGUGACGGUAAUGGGUAAAGAAGCACCGGCUAACUACGUG